UAAUACAGAGGGUGCGAGCGUUAAUCGGAAUUACUGGGCGUAAAGGGUGCGUAGGUGGUUAGACAAGUCAGAUGUGAAAUCCCCGAGCUCAACUCGGGAACUGCGUUUGAUACUAUUUAGCUAGAGUGCAAUAGAGGGAAGUGGAAUUUCCGGUGUAGCGGUGAAAUGCGUAGAUAUCGGAAGGAACACCAGUGGCGAAGGCGGCUUCCUGGAUUGCAACUGACACUGAGGCACGAAAGCGUGGGUAGCGAACAGGAUUAGAUACCCUGGUAGUCCACGCUGUAAACGAUGAGAACUGGAUGUUAGGGGGUUAAACCCUUAGUAUCGAAGCUAACGCGUUAAGUUCUCCGCCUGGGGAGUACGGCCGCAAGGUUA
Molecule: ribosomal RNA, 375 nt
Filed under: uncultured bacterium
Lineage: Bacteria
Description: bacterial SSU rRNA
Rfam family: Bacterial small subunit ribosomal RNA
Source: RNAcentral